GGCGGCUCGCGGGGCUGCGGGGCUGCGGGGCUGCGGGCGGGGGCCGGGGGUCGGAGUCCUGGGGGCGCCGCGGGGCUGGGGGGGCUGGGGGGGUCGGGGGUCCCGGGGUCCGGGGGUCCGGGCGGAGCGGCUGGUCCCCGCGGAGCGCGGGCCGCCCGGAGUGUCCCCGAGGCCGCGGCCGGGGCGCUGAGCCGGGCAGGAAGCGGCGGCGGGACGGCGUCCCCGGGGGAGGGCGGCGGCCCCGGGACUGCUGCCUCCCGCCCCGAGGCCCGGGUCCCGGGUCCCCCGCCCGCCUCUCCCUCCCCGGGGUCGGGGCCACGUCGGGGCGGCGCCGGGAGGGGCGGGGGCGCCGGUGAGCCGCGCGGGCCCCGAGGUGCUGGGGUUCGGGGCGGCGCGUCCCGGGCCCGCGGGGAGGCCGGCGGAGGAAUCCCGCUGCAUCCCGGGCGCCGGCCGCGGGCCCGAGCGGAUCCCGGAGCGGAGCUCGGCGCGGAGCUCGGCGCGGGGGUGAGGGGCGGCGGGGGGGGUGCGGCUGGGGCCCGCCGCGCGCGUGGGCGGUGCCGGGGCUGGGCGAGGGGCCCCACGCGCGCCGUCCCGCCGCCCCACGCGCGCCGCGUCCCGCCCCGUCCCUCCCCGCCCCCCCGCGCGCCCUGUUGCGGUCCCGGAGGUCGCGGGCGGCCCCCAGCGCCCGGGUCUCUGCGCCCACUGCCGGUCCGCCCGCGGGGCCGCUGCGGGGGGCGGGGGGCGGGUGCGGGGUCCGGGGAUGCGAGUGCGGGGUGCAGGGUGCGGGGUCCGGGGGUGCAAGUGCACGGUGCGGGGUGCGGAGUCCGGGGGUGCAAAUGCAGGGUGCGGGGUGCGAGGUUCGGGGAUGUGCGGUCCGAGGUCUGGGGGUGCGAGUGCGCGGUGCAGGGUCCGGGGGUACGAGUGCGGGGUGCAGAGUGCGCGGUGCAGGGUCCGGGGGUGCAAGUGCACGGUGCGGGGUGCAGGGUGCAGGGUGCGCGGUCCGAGGUCCGGGGGUGCAGAGUACGCGGUGCAGGGUCCGGGGGUGCCGGGUGGGGUCCGGGGGCUCCGCUCCUUGGCGGCCAGGGUUGCGGGGAGGCUAGAGGAGCUGCCGCCCAGACCGGUUACUCUGCAGCACGGCCUCCGGGGCCUCCCGCUAAUUUGCGGAUCCUUCCAUCCACCCGUUCCUCGUCGCUUCCACCGCGGCCACUGCUUCUAAGACGGAGGGAAGGUGAACAGAUCGGAGCAGUAAAUCCCAAGUAG
RNAcentral lists this long non-coding RNA (1260 nucleotides) under Canis lupus familiaris (dog). RNAcentral's name for it is "lncRNA (ENSCAFG00040003333.1)". The record is from RNAcentral. Lineage: Eukaryota; Metazoa; Chordata; Mammalia; Carnivora; Canidae.